This 253-nucleotide ribosomal RNA is filed under the name uncultured bacterium. Its description in RNAcentral is "partial 16S ribosomal RNA". It matches the Rfam family "Bacterial small subunit ribosomal RNA", at positions 524 to 776 of the family's 1533-position model. The record is from RNAcentral.
UACGAAGGGGGCUAGCGUUGCUCGGAAUCACUGGGCGUAAAGGGUGCGUAGGCGGGUCUUUAAGUCCGGGGUGAAAUCCUGGAGCUCAACUCCAGAACUGCCUUUGAUACUGAAGAUCUUGAGUUCGGGAGAGGUGAGUGGAACUGCGAGUGUAGAGGUGAAAUUCGUAGAUAUUCGCAAGAACACCAGUGGCGAAGGCGGCUCACUGGCCCGAUACUGACGCUGAUGCACGAAAGCGUGGGGAGCAAACAGG